GCCUCUGUAGCUCAGUGGUAUAAGAGCAGUCAUUCUGGUGCCAGACAGUCAUGAGUUUGAAUCCCAUCAGAGACA
This 75-nucleotide transfer RNA is filed under the name Cronartium ribicola 11-2. RNAcentral's name for it is "tRNA-Und (NNN) (tRNA-Und-NNN-81-1)". It matches the Rfam family "tRNA". From Rfam's summary of the family: Transfer RNA (tRNA) molecules are approximately 80 nucleotides in length. Their secondary structure includes four short double-helical elements and three loops (D, anti-codon, and T loops). The record is from RNAcentral. Lineage: Eukaryota; Fungi; Basidiomycota; Pucciniomycetes; Pucciniales; Coleosporiaceae.